RNAcentral lists this small RNA (1226 nucleotides) under Pan troglodytes (chimpanzee). RNAcentral's name for it is "processed transcript". Lineage: Eukaryota; Metazoa; Chordata; Mammalia; Primates; Hominidae. The record is from RNAcentral.
ACAACAUGGCCUCCUCCGCCUCCUCCUCUCCCGCGGGCACCGAGGACUCCGCUCCUGCCCAGGGUGACUUUGGAUCAUAUUAUUCACGAAGCUCUAGAAAGGUAAGUGAACUUGGCAUUGGCCAUUGCUUAUUAUGCUUCCUGUCUGGCUCUUACUCAUGUUGCCAUUUUGUGGACUAAAACUCAAGGCAGUUCAAAAAUACUGAUAUGCAGGUGCCAUGGAUGCUGUUGGAGUGUGUGUCCUAAGAGAGAGGGUAAGUGCUGGUUUUCCAUUUUAAACAUAGCUCGUGAUAUCAAGUUGCCCCCUCCCUUCAUUCCCUGACUCCCGUCUUCCCCCAAAAGCGGCUCUCUUGGUUUAGUAAGCAUCUCUACCCUGCAAAGCGGAAAUAAUGAAAAAUGAGAUUCACUUUGCAAGCUUGUUUGGAUGAGCUUCUGGAGAAUAAUUUUUACCAAAAGCCUGAAAUCAUUUGGCAUUGUUGGUGUUUUCAAUGCAUCUGCAUCACAGCACAUUGCAUUUCACAUCUGGCCAGUUUGGAAUGAAACUUAGAAAAUCACCAGACUAUAGUGAUGUAAUUGUCAUGAAGUGGUUUUUGUAGCUUAGAGAAAAGAAAAACACUUGGCUGAAAGAAUGGUCUGAAGUCCCACCCAAAGUAAAACAUUCUAAAUUAAUAGUUGCCUAAAGACUACAGUAUUAUUAGACUUCUAUUUAAAAAAAUUCACAGUUCUAAUCAAAGAAGUGUAAUUGGAGUUUCCUUUUUAAAUAUUUGAAGACUGUAUUUACUAUUUUGAUGUUCAAUUAUUAGAUCUAUAUUUAGAAGGAAGUCUAGAGGCAUUUUAAGCUAAAUAGGAAUGUGGAUUCCUAUUCAACUUACUAUUGGAAAAAUACAUUGUCAUUAUAGAUUUUUAAAGUAUUAAGUAGCUUUUAAAAAACAUUAUAGGACUGUUAUAGCUGAAUCCUUUUAAUAUCUUCAUUGUUCUUAAUUCUCUAGGAGUUUAGUAACAUUUUGCUUUUUUUGGUAAAAUUUGAAGUCUAAUUUACUAGUUGGCUAUUUCUUUACAUUGAGAAUGGUUAUUACUUUUUCACUCUGAACAAUUGAAAAUUAAGACAAAUUACACUUAAAUAUAAAUUCUUGAUGGUUUUCUUUGCUGUUCUUUUCAUUUAUUAUUGGAAAACAGAUACUGCAUUAAAGUAUUUGUUGAAAUAUGCCUAAGUGUGUUUUCAGAUAG